This 295-nucleotide ribosomal RNA is filed under the name uncultured bacterium. RNAcentral's name for it is "partial 16S ribosomal RNA". It matches the Rfam family "Bacterial small subunit ribosomal RNA", at positions 775 to 1067 of the family's 1533-position model. The record is from RNAcentral.
GGAUUAGAUACCCUGGUAGUCCACGCUGUAAACGAUGUCAACUAGUCGUCGGGGGGAUUUUAACCCUUUGGUGACGUAGCUAACGCACUAAGUUGACCGCCUGGGGAGUACGGCCGCAAGGUUAAAACUCAAAUGAAUUGACGGGGGCCCGCACAAGCGGUGGAGCAUGUGGUUUAAUUCGAUGCAACGCGAAGAACCUUACCUGCCCUUGACAUCCUGAGAACUUGGCAGAGAUGCCUUGGUGCCUUCGGGAACUCAGUGACAGGUGCUGCAUGGCUGUCGUCAGCUCGUGUCG